Molecule: long non-coding RNA, 738 nt
Organism: Ictalurus furcatus (blue catfish)
Lineage: Eukaryota; Metazoa; Chordata; Actinopteri; Siluriformes; Ictaluridae
Exons: 3
Source: RefSeq, a predicted model, not a curated record
GAGGUUGGGUUUUUUUGGGUGAGUGACCUGCACUCCACGUUGCGAGCUGAUCAAUAGCGCUCAGAGCUUAUCUCCCACUUCCAUUUACUGUUUGACUAAAAGCCUUGGAGGCCACAUAAAGAGGACCAGAAGGGAGCAGACCGACCUGAACUUAGCUCAUAUCGUCAAAAUGAACUGCUGCUGGGAGAUCACUGGCGUAGAGACGAUGGGAAAGUGUGCUGGAAUUUGUAAAUGUGAUCACACACAUGCUGUGGAGACCGGAAAGCUUGAUGACGGCCAUCUUUACGAUCGGAUCCAGAGGCUUCAUGUGAGAAAUUUGUCUCCUGAGCUCAAAUGUUCCUGUGGGUCAAAUGUCUUUUGCACACCCUUAGGGUGAAAUAAGAAAGAACAAGAAGAAAUUUCAUGUGUUUGUCUGAUCAUUGUUCAAAACAUUUAUACCCAGUCGUGAUGUCUCAUUUAUAUCUUUUGUUCUCACUUUGCAUAGAUGAAUGUCCUGAGCUUAACAUUAGCGCUUAACGCUUAGCGUUACCAUCCAUCUUCAACUGCUUACUCCAUCGCAGGGCACAAUCACAUACACACUCACACAUUAAUGUGAUAAUUAUUCGAAAGAAUACAAUUCAAUUCAACACAAAAACAUGUUUUCCUCCUCGACCAGAUUUAUCAUGAGGAUCUUGAAACUUGCAAAAAUUGUAAAUAAAUACUACUUUUGCCAAUGGCGAAUAAAUGGGUAUGACCUGC